Molecule: long non-coding RNA, 2151 nt
Organism: Myotis daubentonii (Daubenton's bat)
Lineage: Eukaryota; Metazoa; Chordata; Mammalia; Chiroptera; Vespertilionidae
Source: RefSeq, a predicted model, not a curated record
AGAUGGGGAACUGGGGUGGGAAGAUUGCGUGGGCCAAGGAUCACCUUGGAACUCUGGAGCCUGGCAGGAGCGGCCACGGAUCGGAGGGGCUGGCGGGCCCGGACGCGCCGCAGGAGAGCGGCGUGGGGUGUGAAGGGCUCAGCUAGGGGUGCAGAGGAAAGAAGGGGGAGCCAGGCAUUCAUCCCGGUCACUUUUGGUUUCAGGACGUGGCGGCUGGUGGACACGGGGGAGCUGGAGAGGGGUCCGCCGGGCCUGGGCCGAGGAGUAGCUGGCAGCCACGGCAGCUGAGGACAGCGGUCUGCCGGGCAGGUGAGUCCCCUUCCCCUCACGGCCUCGCCGCCCCGGCCUUCCGCAACCAGGAGGCUCCCGGGAGCGAGGACCCGUGAGGAGAAGCGGCCGCCAGCCCGGCAGAGCGGCAGGAGGAAGGCAGACGGUAGCACAGGUGACAUCGUCUCGGGGGGAGCCGAGACCGCGCAGGCUGGGGGGCCGCGGCCCGCCCAGGUGCAGAGCGUGUUUCCAGGGGGCAGAGCGAGAGGAGGGGCUGCCGGCGAGGGAGAGGACAGAGGGCCCGCAGGAGCCCACCACCUGCACGGACAUUCCAGGCCCGGUCACUUCGGACAGGAUGAGCAGGGGGCUCACGCAGCAGGGUCCCCAGCCGCUACCACACCCACUGUAACUCACUCAGGAGCAGGCACAGGAGCGGCUCCGGCCGGCGGGCGUCACGGCCAGGCCGGAGCCUCGAGGGCAGGAGAACGAGAAGAGGGCGCAGUGCAGAGGGGCGUCAUCAGAGGGAAUGGCAGCACAGGUGUGAGCUCCAGAGAUUUCGGCAGCAAGGAGGCUGCGGGGCCCCGCCGUGGGCGCCGUUUCCACGUGGCACUGCGACCCGGGGGUGGCACGGGGAGGCCACGGCGAUUUUGCGACACCGUGCAUCUCCGUGCGGCCCCUGGGACGGCGUGAUAGACAGUUCAGCAUCCGGGGGAGCCAAGGACACAGGCAGGACCAGACUAGGAGAGGCGGGCGGGGCGGCGUGUGUGCGAGGGGGGGAGGGAGAGCAGGGCGCGAGCAGGGGCGCGGCACAGCGGCCUGGCAGCGAGCGAGGCGGGCGCUGGCUCCGGAGCCCGUGGCCAAGGCGGGCUUGCGGGCGGUGACGGAGCAGGGAUCGGUGCCUCCGCGUUCGGAUCGGAGACCAGCCAGGUCUCAGCGGGGUGACAACGUGCCUGCCAGCCACGGAGGCCGGGCACCAGGAGGUGUGCUGAGAGCGACAUGACAUGGUCCGGUGUGACGGCGAGAAGGGAACGGAGCCCCGGCCUUCCUGAACAUCUCUGGCUGGCGCCCUGGGAGCGCAGCGCCCAGCUGGUCUCUGUCCUUUGCUUUCCGGAGGAGCCCACACAACUCUGGCCUCGGGACCUCAGAACCCUCAAGAUGACAAGAAAUGGUGCUACCCAGCUCAUGCCUGGGCCUCGGACCCCGGACUUCUUCAAGUCCUUCUAGCUCUGACUCAAGAAUAUGCUGCACUUGGAACCACUACCCACCCGUCUCAGGAACCGGCUGCGAAGGUAGAGCAAAGGACUGAGAUCGGCGACACCAGCACCACCGGACGCGAGCAGCUCCCGUGGCAGCACCUGCCCCCGCGGCGAUACCAUCUUGGCCGCGCCCCAGCGAGGGCUGGAGACCACCCCAGCCGCCCCGCCCAGCACCACCACCCUCCUCUCCUCCUUCUUUUCAGACUUUCCUGUCUCCUUUCCCUCCUUUCCUUCUUUCUCUGUCCCUGGCUCAGCAGGCUCAGCGUCCGGGACUCCGCGUCCCCCCCAUCCCCCUGAUUCAAUUUGCACUAUAAGUCGUUUGCACUGGUUUGGGGUCCCGGACCGCCCCGAGUCUCUGAGCGUGUGCGUGAGCGUGUGCGUGAGCGUGUGCAUGAGCCACUGCCGAGUGUGCCGGCCUCCUCGGGCCGGUGCCGCCCCAGCGCCCCCGCCCUCCGUCACUGGGGGUGCUGGGUGCGGCAGAGUGCGUGGGGCCCUGCCCCCCCCCCGCCUAGUCUGGACGCUCCGCCCACCAGGAGCACCUAGCACUGCAUUGUGCACCAUCCUGCCUGUGUCCCUCCUCACCAGGCUUCACCAGAAGCCUGGCAUCAUCAAUAAAUCCGUUCCAGCA